RNAcentral lists this transfer RNA (64 nucleotides) under Linognathus vituli. RNAcentral's name for it is "tRNA-Val". The record is from RNAcentral. Lineage: Eukaryota; Metazoa; Arthropoda; Insecta; Psocodea; Linognathidae.
GAGAAUAAAGUUAGUAUUCUAAUACUUAGUUUACAUCUAAGUGAGUCUCACGAGAUAUUCUCAC